AUAGGUGUACCAGACGUAAAUACAUGCUAUUUGUUCUACAGAAGGUUGUUGUUUUCGUAUCUUAUCGCAGCCCUGAAAGACGGUCGAUAAUGGUCCAGUUGCGAUUAUCGUUACAAAAGAUUUAAUUAACUCUGGUGUUUUGCUUUCAUAGUAAUGCCAGAGCACUAGCGUGUUCAACUAUUUAGUUAAUCGAAACGUUUCGGAAAUACUUUCGCAAUAGCUAAACGGUGAAGAGUGUCAUAUAAUGGGUCUGCUAUUUCAGGUCUUCAUAGGCAUUGUCCUUCAUGAGCUUCAUAAGCUUUUCAUCUACGACGUCGGCUUUUUGUCGGCUGCUUGGUACUGCUAAGUUUCGGUAGUACAUAAUUCAGUAUUAAAACGUUUGGCCACACUUUGCUUUUCUUCUGAAGAUUGCAAGGUCGUAGGGUUAAAGACUGAAGUUAACUGAAAUUAAUGACAGCUUUUAUGAUGGGCUCAAAAAGAUCAAUAACGAACAUUUACAAAUAAAGUAUUUUAGAACUGUUUUAAAGAAGCAGGCGUAAUAGAUACCUAUUUGUACAGGCACCCUUCGUUAAAAUCGGAUAAAGAGUCCCGAUAUAACCUUGUAAUAUCAUAUCUGGCAUAAGAGUAUAUCAAUAAUAGUGUACGUUAGGCACAGUCUUUAAGUUUUCGAGCCGAAAUUAUACUCCAUUCUGGUUUGCGUAGGUCUCAUAAAAGCUCCACCUUAUCACUAUUAUGUUGGUUAAGAGGAAAUUCUAUUGCAGUGCGAACGUUAAGAGGAUCUAGUUUGUUAGCAUUUCUCUCCAACUGCUCUGUUAUUUAUAUUUUGCCUUUUCUUCCUUGAAAUAGAAAUUCCCUAUUCAUUUACUUUUUUUUUUUUGUUUUUUCCAAACUGAACUUUUGACAUCAGUAUUGCAGAUUCUACAAUUGUCUACAGUUAGCCGCAUUGAGUUUGCACAUUGAAGAUGCUCGCUGGUGUAUUUUUCAAUUUAUAACAAUGAAAGAAACUUAUUUUGUCUUACUGAGAAAUAAUGUUACUUUUUUUUGAUUCAAACGUCUGCGCACACGACGAGCUGCGAACGAGAUGAAUAUUAGGGAAUAUCCAAUGGAAUGGAUUUAUGCGAAAAGUGGAAACCUAUUUCUAACUUAGUAUUUUAUAACGAUACGCCAGGGUUUUUCUUUUACUAGUCAUUGAACCAACCAAGACCAAGGUAUGGAUGUUGUUGGAUACAGCAUUCCUUAAAUACAAGAUCUUUUUACAUAUCUAGCGUUUUCUAUCUUGUCACCUAUUUAGUAGAAUCCAUAAGUGCUUCACCAGCUUAUAAAAUUAAUAAUAACAGUGUUUAUCCGCCUUGUGUGAGUGACGCUGGAAAUUUGUGCUCAAACUAUUUCAAACAGCUUCAUUCGUUUUUUUUUUUUUAACUUCAUCUUUACAAUAGCAACGACGGUAAAAUAUAAAAUGGUACUACUUGCUAUUUAAUAUUCAGAUCUAGAGUUCGAACUAACGUUUACUCCUGGAGGGCCAUGCGACUAAUUUAUCUAGGUUCUCCGAAGGUAUUGGCUAUCUGAAUCAUUACAUUCUUAAUAGUACUGCAGGAUAUUGUUUUGUUGAGCUGCGCUAUUUAUAUUUGUAAGCGCCGAUACUCCAGCCUUAAUAGACUUUGCUUCCAUUUUUUUCAUUGAAGAAUUUCUUCAAUUUGAAACUGAAGUAGCUUUUUGGCCUGGAAAUGAUCUCGACUAACCAUUUUAAUUAAUACACUCGUGGGUUUUCUUCGUUCCAUUCUAGACCCUACAAAUCGUAUUAGAUUUUUGCAAAUUUAUUAAGCUCUCAGAUUGAAUAGUGUGCGUAUUUCCUUUGAGAAUCCUCAGAAAGAACUACGAUUUGCUCGUUGUUUAUACAGACACACCCCGUACCCCGAAUUUAGAAAAUAGCGACCUGCCUAAACUGAAACAGGCCAAACUAGACCUGAAUAGGAUUAAACCUUUCGUUUUCUGUUCCGCUAUAGAAGAGCUAUCAUGAGAUUGGUUUUAAUGAUGUCUGACGACCGACGGUUAGUUUAACUGCUCACCGCUCUAUCAUGAAAUACACAUAAAGGAUGGUUCUAAAUUUUCAUCACUUCGCGAAUGGGACCCUGGUAGCCAUCGAAAGGCAAGUUCCCCUUUUGCAUUUACUUGAUCCCUUCUUCAAGUUAUCCUCUGAAUUUGCCUUUUAUUUAAAUAAAUUAAUUAGAAAAGGUGAACAUGGGUUUAUUGUGUCAUAGCAACUUCCGGGUGUUUCCAUUCGAUUGGCUGAGGUGCAUGGUAAUCGUUUUUCUCAACUUCGCAUUGAGGUAGACCUCGUUACUAUGGGGUAUCUUUAAAUCGUUGUAACGACAUACUUUACAGAUAACACAGGAUGGAUACCAAUGAUGAAAAAUGACACGUUAAGAUAAUCAUAGCUUUUACGUGACAUGUAAUGAAUUAAACACUUAUUCUAGUUGCAAUGCUUCGGAAACGUAUGUCGGUGGAUUUUCAGCAACUUGCUAAUUCAACAGGAUUUCUGGUGCAAGGAACACAUUUGUUAAUUGUACGAUACUCUCCGUACUCAAGAAGUCUUUCUGUCGUGAGAUUUCUUUCUACAUCUACAAUGGAUUUCUAUCAUCCAAGGUUGCUGCGACGUCUUCGUUCGAGCUGCCUGUUUCAUUCAACCUGAUGGCCCUGAACGUCUGGGAGGCAGUUUACCUCAUCUUCAUCUCGCUUCUGGAGACCUACGCGGUCACCUACCUGGAACGAACGGCCAUUCCAGGUACCUCAAUAGAAGCUCUGCACCAGAAGCUUUCAAUGAUCAGUCUUCGGAACUAGCCAGAGGCGCCGGCGGUGAUGGUCCAACACGACCCUAAAUCUUCCGAAUUCGUCUUCUGGUAAAUGAAACUCACACUAUUCACCCGUGAGCGUGCAUCAAGAUAACUGCAAGAGCAGCAACUCAGUUCCCUGGAAGUUCACUGUACGGUGUUCCUUAUUGAAGCUCACCGACUUUAAUGAUUUCCUAGGGAUACCACGGAACUAGUCCCAUUUAUAUUUUGUUGAUCUACACAUGAGGUAGCUUAAAUGACCGAUCUUGUUAUAAUAAUAGAAGAUGAGUGUCGCGGAGCUAUAGUUUAGGUCAAUCUUAUUAAAUAAAGCACCACAGCGGAAUUCAACUUUAAUUGAGUCCCACUAUGGUAACUUAUAAGGAGUACAGAAAAUAUUCAUGAUUAUUGUAUCAUUAUGAUCAUAAUCGCGUGAUCAUAUCGCGAGAAUCAUCAUGAUCCUCCACUACUGAGCACAAUGUGUGUACCGAACAGCCAACUAAUAUUUAUGUAGACUGAUUUCUUUUUUGCGCGAUUUGUAAAGCAGUAAAGUAACUACUGGCCCUUGCAAUUGGACAAGCUCGAAUAAUGAUAAAGUUGAACGAAGUACAUUUUCCAGGCGAACGCUCGGGAGGAAGUGAGAAAUCGGCGAUACUGAAUGACUCAAAGCACAUUGUCCGUUCUAUCUUAUUCCACUCGCAAUUUUCAUUUGAAGGCGAGCUAAUGAUUAUUGUUGUCGUUUUUACAAAAGUAUCGAGGGAAGUUAAAGGGAAGCAAGCGAAUCAACUUUUCUUUGCUUAUUUUUAUCUAUUAGACAAUUUUUAAUAAAACAACUAGUUUCUCUCCAUUUAAUGCGAUGUCGUUGCUUGUUGUUCCGACACAAAUAAUCUAGAUCUUACAUAUAGGGUUAUUAACUUUGGACGCAGUUUGAACCUUAAACUUCAGGCACUUAGUUUUGAAUAUCUA
This is a non-coding RNA of Varroa destructor (honeybee mite), 3791 nucleotides long. Lineage: Eukaryota; Metazoa; Arthropoda; Arachnida; Mesostigmata; Varroidae. The record is from RefSeq and is a predicted model, not a curated record.